RNAcentral lists this ribosomal RNA (465 nucleotides) under Vreelandella stevensii. RNAcentral's name for it is "partial 16S ribosomal RNA". It matches the Rfam family "Bacterial small subunit ribosomal RNA", at positions 338 to 795 of the family's 1533-position model. Lineage: Bacteria; Pseudomonadati; Pseudomonadota; Gammaproteobacteria; Oceanospirillales; Halomonadaceae. The record is from RNAcentral.
CCUACGUGCGGCAGCAGUGGGGAAUAUUGGACAAUGGGCGAAAGCCUGAUCCAGCCAUGCCGCGUGUGUGAAGAAGGCCUUCGGGUUGUAAAGCACUUUCAGUGGGGAAGAAAGCCUUGGGGCUAAUACCCUCGAGGAAGGACAUCACCCACAGAAGAAGCACCGGCUAACUCCGUGCCAGCAGCCGCGGUAAUACGGAGGGUGCGAGCGUUAAUCGGAAUUACUGGGCGUAAAGCGCGCGUAGGCGGUCUGAUAAGCCGGUUGGGAAAGCCCCGGGCUCAACCUGGGAACGGCAUCCGGAACUGUCAGGCUAGAGUGCAGGUGAGGAAGGUAGAAUUCCCGGUGUAGCGGUGAAAUGCGUAGAGAUCGGGAGGAAUACCAGUGGCGAAGGCGGCCUUCUGGACUGACACUGACGCUGAGGUGCGAAAGCGUGGGUAGCAAACAGGAUUAGAUACCCGUGUAGUC